GAUGAACGCUGGCGGCGUGCCUAAUACAUGCAAGUCGAGCGAACGGACGAGAAGCUUGCUUUUCUGAUGUUAGCGGCGGACGGGUGAGUAACACGUGGAUAACCUACCUAUAAGACUGGGAUAACUUCGGGAAACCGGAGCUAAUACCGGAUAAUAUUUUGAACCGCAUGGUUCAUAAGUGAAAGACGGUCUUGCUGUCACUUAUAGAUGGAUCCGCGCUGCAUUAGCUAGUUGGUAAGGUAACGGCUUACCAAGGCAACGAUGCAUAGCCGACCUGAGAGGGUGAUCGGCCACACUGGAACUGAGACACGGUCCAGACUCCUACGGGAGGCCGCAGUAGGGAAUCUUCCGCAAUGGGCGAAAGCCUGACGGAGCAACGCCGCGUGAGUGAUGAAGGUCUUCGGAUCGUAAAACUCUGUUAUUAGGGAAGAACAUAUGUGUAAGUAACUGUGCACAUCUUGACGGUACCUAAUCAGAAAGCCACGGCUAACUACGUG
This 497-nucleotide ribosomal RNA is filed under the name uncultured bacterium. RNAcentral's name for it is "partial 16S ribosomal RNA". It matches the Rfam family "Bacterial small subunit ribosomal RNA", at positions 28 to 507 of the family's 1533-position model. The record is from RNAcentral.